GGAUGUGAGGAUGAUCUGGCUGCAACAUAUGUCACCCCACUGAUUCCCAGAGUUGAUUCGGCUGACCUGGCUGGCUUAGCAGGUGCCCUCUUCCUCCCUCACUGCUCUGUGUGUGUCCCUCCCAAAGCCGCAUUCUUGGUGGAAGAGGAUGACCUUCUCCGAUAGAGGAGGAAUGGUCUUUGGUCAAGGGGAUAUGAGUACCUAAGCUCCCCUGCUAGAAACUCUAAACAAGCUCUCAAAUAAUUUCUAUUUAAUAGCGGAGAUGAGAUACAUAUAUAAUUAAUUUCAGUACAAGGUUGAACAUU
Molecule: small nuclear RNA, 305 nt
Filed under: Microcebus murinus (gray mouse lemur)
Lineage: Eukaryota; Metazoa; Chordata; Mammalia; Primates; Cheirogaleidae
Description: 7SK RNA (ENSMICG00000024335.3)
Rfam family: 7SK RNA
About the family: 7SK was discovered as an abundant small nuclear RNA in the mid-70s but a possible function has only recently been suggested. Two independent studies have found that 7SK RNA binds the CDK9/cyclin T complex (known as elongation factor P-TEFb).
Source: Rfam by way of RNAcentral